AUGGAGCAAAUUCAGAACAAAGAUGGCAAGACCAAACAUCUCAGAUACUACAUGCACAUCCUUGCCGUUGCAGGACUUAGUAUAACCAUGGCACCACACAAAACUUCAACAUCCGAACUAACCGUCAGCGAAAUCUAUCUAAACAUAAACUACCCUAUGCACACAUACACACAACAGAGAAUCUGUCUAAGCCUAGCUAGCCUAGCUACAAACGAGAGAGGAUCAAACGAAGAACAGGACACCAAUGUAGGGUCAGUCAUGGCAGCAGAGGAGCAUGACAACGCAUCGCCGGAUGAUGUAGAGCCUGGCCUUGUGUUGCCUCAGCAUCCUGCUGAUCCCUCCUCCUCCUGCUGA
Molecule: ribosomal RNA, 354 nt
Filed under: Triticum aestivum (bread wheat)
Lineage: Eukaryota; Viridiplantae; Streptophyta; Magnoliopsida; Poales; Poaceae
Description: partial small subunit ribosomal RNA
Source: RNAcentral